Molecule: transfer RNA, 77 nt
Filed under: Vibrio phage 144E46.1
Lineage: Duplodnaviria; Heunggongvirae; Uroviricota; Caudoviricetes; Pantevenvirales; Ackermannviridae
Description: tRNA-Arg
Rfam family: tRNA
About the family: Transfer RNA (tRNA) molecules are approximately 80 nucleotides in length. Their secondary structure includes four short double-helical elements and three loops (D, anti-codon, and T loops). Further hydrogen bonds mediate the characteristic L-shaped molecular structure. tRNAs have two regions of fundamental functional importance: the anti-codon, which is responsible for specific mRNA codon recognition, and the 3' end, to which the tRNAs corresponding amino acid is attached (by aminoacyl-tRNA synthetases). tRNAs cope with the degeneracy of the genetic code in two manners: having more than one tRNA (with a specific anti-codon) for a particular amino acid; and 'wobble' base-pairing, i.e. permitting non-standard base-pairing at the 3rd anti-codon position.
Source: RNAcentral
GCUUCCUUAGCUCAGUUGGAUAGAGCGAUCCCCUCCUAAGGGAUAGGUCACAGGUUCGAGUCCUGUAGGGAGCGCCA